This 302-nucleotide unclassified non-coding RNA is filed under the name uncultured fungus. Its description in RNAcentral is "partial contains 5.8S ribosomal RNA and internal transcribed spacer 2". The stretch from base 1 to 133 matches the Rfam family "5.8S ribosomal RNA", at positions 22 to 154 of the family's 154-position model. The record is from RNAcentral. Lineage: Eukaryota; Fungi.
UGGUUCUGGCAUCGAUGAAGAACGCAGCGAAAUGCGAUAAGUAAUGUGAAUUGCAGAAUUCAGUGAAUCAUCGAAUCUUUGAACGCACAUUGCGCCCAUUAGUAUUCUAGUGGGCAUGCCUGUUCGAGCGUCAUUUCAACCUUCAGUUUUCUGAUGUUGGACACUGUAGGAAACUACAGGGCCAAAAUAUAGUGGCGAAAGCACCUAUGCCAAGUGAAGUAAACUCUCGCUACGGCUACAGUGACGAUCUGCCCACACCAUCUCUUCAGGUUGACCUCGAAUCAGACAGGAAUACCCGCUGA